UGUAAGCGUAUACCAAAGUUGUUGCAGUUAAAACGCUCGUAGUCGGAAUUUGGCAGUUCCGGAUGUGUGCACGUCGUGUGCGCACUUCGCGGGGAUUGCUUUUGUGGUCUUGCGUAGGAUGAGGCACUUUUAUUAGUGAACGUCCUCACGCAACCACUUUUUACUGUGAGAAAAUCAGAGUGCUCAAAGCAGGCAUUUGCCGUGAAUGUAUUAGCAUGGAAUAAUAGAAUAGGACUUGGUUCUAUUUUGUUGGUUUGUUGGGACUUAGUAAUGAUUAAGAGGGACAGUUGGGGGCAUUUGUAUUUCGGUGCUAGAGGUGAAAUUCUUAGAUUACCGAAAGACAAACUGCUGCGAAAGCGUCUGCCAAGGAUGUUUUCAUUGA
RNAcentral lists this ribosomal RNA (382 nucleotides) under uncultured eukaryote. RNAcentral's name for it is "partial 18S ribosomal RNA". It matches the Rfam family "Eukaryotic small subunit ribosomal RNA", at positions 592 to 976 of the family's 1831-position model. The record is from RNAcentral.